UCAGAACGAACGCUGGCGGCAGGCUUAACACAUGCAAGUCGAGCGCCCCGCAAGGGGAGCGGCAGACGGGUGAGUAACGCGUGGGAAUCUACCCAUCUCUACGGAACAACUCCGGGAAACUGGAGCUAAUACCGUAUACGUCCUUCGGGAGAAAGAUUUAUCGGAGAUGGAUGAGCCCGCGUUGGAUUAGCUAGUUGGUGGGGUAAUGGCCUACCAAGGCGACGAUCCAUAGCUGGUCUGAGAGGAUGAUCAGCCACACUGGGACUGAGACACGGCCCAGACUCCUACGGGAGGCAGCAGUGGGGAAUAUUGGACAAUGGGCGCAAGCCUGAUCCAGCCAUGCCGCGUGAGUGAUGAAGGCCCUAGGGUUGUAAAGCUCUUUCAACGGUGAAGAUAAUGACGGUAACCGAGA
This 412-nucleotide ribosomal RNA is filed under the name soil bacterium 01G-15. RNAcentral's name for it is "bacterial SSU rRNA". It matches the Rfam family "Bacterial small subunit ribosomal RNA", at positions 24 to 484 of the family's 1533-position model. The record is from RNAcentral.